Molecule: long non-coding RNA, 705 nt
Organism: Heterocephalus glaber (naked mole-rat)
Lineage: Eukaryota; Metazoa; Chordata; Mammalia; Rodentia; Bathyergidae
Source: Ensembl
AUUGAAAUUGAAAUGCCUGUGUCUUCCAGUGUGGGUUGGAAAGUUAGUAUUAGCGUAAGUUCGUGGGGAGGGGGAGGGAUAAUGUCACAUGUCAAGCACCUGGGUAUUGUGAUUUGGUCCUGCGCCUUAGGGUUAGGGUUAGGGUUAGGAGCAGGUUGAGGUUUAGGGUUCCAAUUCAUGUACCUGACGUUUGGAGUGUGGGUAUGAUUGUUAGGGUUAGGGUGCUUCUUUUCGUAAGGGUCAUGGAUAGUGCAGAAAUAGCGGUACUUGAGGAUGACUUAUUGUUCUGGUAGGGUUAGGGCUAGGGUUAGGGUUAGGGUCAGGGUGAUAGAUAGCAUUGAAAUUGAAAUGCCUGUGUCUUCCAGUGUGGGUUGGAAACUUAGUAUUAGCAUGAUUUCAUGGGGACGGGGAGGGAUAAUGUCACAUGUCAAGCACCUGGGGAGUUUGAUUUGGUCCUGAGGCUUAGGGUUAGGGUUAGGGUUAGGAGUAGGUUUAGGUUUAGGGUUCCAAUUCAUGUACCUGACGUUUGGAGUGUGGGUAUGAUUGUUAGGGUUAGGGUUGUUCUUUUCGUAAGGGUCAUGGAUAGUGCAGAAAUAGCGGUACUUGAGGAUGACUUAUUGUUCACGUAAGGUUAGGGCUAGGGUUAGGGUUAGGGUCAGGGUGAUAGAUAGCAUUGAAAUUGAAAUGCCUGUGUCUUCCCAUGUC